AGAGUUUGAUCAUGGCUCAGGACGAACGCUGGCGGCGUGCCUAAUACAUGCAAGUCGAACGGUCUUUUCUAUGGAAGCUUGCUUCCACUGAGAAGAUAGUGGCGAACGGGUGAGUAACACGUGGGUAACCUGCCCAUAAGAGGGGGAUAACAUCCGGAAACGGGUGCUAAUACCGCAUAGUUUUCUUGAUCGCAUGAUCGGGAAAGGAAAGACGGCCUUUGUGCUGUCGCUUAUGGAUGGACCCGCGGCGUAUUAGUUAGUUGGUGAGGUAACGGCUCACCAAGACGAUGAUACGUAGCCGACCUGAGAGGGUGAUCGGCCACAUUGGGACUGAGACACGGCCCAAACUCCUACGGGAGGCAGCAGUAGGGAAUCUUCCGCAAUGGACGAAAGUCUGACGGAGCAACGCCGCGUGAGUGAAGAAGGUUUUCGGAUCGUAAAACUCUGUUGUCAGAGAAGAACAAGUUGGAGAGUAACUGCUCCAGCCUUGACGGUAUCUGACCAGAAAGCCACGGCUAACUACGUGCCAGCAGCCGCGGUAAUACGUAGGUGGCAAGCGUUGUCCGGAUUUAUUGGGCGUAAAGCGAGCGCAGGCGGUUCCUUAAGUCUGAUGUGAAAGCCCACGGCUCAACCGUGGAAGGUCAUUGGAAACUGGGGAACUUGAGUGCAGAAGAGGAGAGUGGAAUUCCAUGUGUAGCGGUGAAAUGCGUAGAUAUAUGGAGGAACACCAGUGGCGAAGGCGACUCUCUGGUCUGUAACUGACGCUGAGGCUCGAAAGCGUGGGGAGCAAACAGGAUUAGAUACCCUGGUAGUCCACGCCGUAAACGAUGAGUGCUAAGUGUUGGAGGGUUUCCACCCUUCAGUGCUGCAGCUAACGCAUUAAGCACUCCGCCUGGGGAGUACGGCCGCAAGGCUGAAACUCAAAUGAAUUGACGG
Molecule: ribosomal RNA, 936 nt
Filed under: uncultured bacterium
Lineage: Bacteria
Description: bacterial SSU rRNA
Rfam family: Bacterial small subunit ribosomal RNA
Source: RNAcentral